GCACUGCCUAGCUCAGGACAGUAUGUUUUCUGGCAGGGCUUGGAUAUGCCAAAAAGAUGAGCAUACAAAUGUUUUGGCAAGGACUUCUGAAUAUCAGUCUGUUUCACAGGCUAUGUCACAAUGCCAAGUUGUACGAUUUCUUCGAAAAUAAAAUCAGGAGUGUAUUGGAAGUUAAUACACUUCUGAUGCUGCAGGACUUUCUAAAGUCCUGGAUUUUUCAAAAUCACUGGGUGACAAUCUUCCUUAUACUUUUCCUACUAGUUACUUUUGGGUUAAUAUUCCUAAACAUUCGUACAUCCUUUCACAAGGAGACUGUGCAGCUGAAAAAGGGACCUUCACGUACGUGUUCCCAGAAGAGUGAAGAUAGUCACCAGAAAAGGAUAAAAUUUGCUGUGAAGAAUUGUAGAGAUGACGAUCACUUAUCUUCGGAACAUAGAAAAUACUCUUUCAGCCUCUACUCCGGACCAGCAGAGCACUGAACUAGGUCUAGGUGCUGUGAUGGUGACAUGAAAGGAGUGUACACAAUUGAAAACUAUCAGCCUGCUGACCACAGAGCUAGGGAUUAAAUAUUGAUAUCAUUACUGUUCUUGUUGCCAUGAGUAUUUUAGUUGUUUCCGCUGAAAAGCAUUCAACAAUUAUUAUUUAUCCACUAUUUAAUAGACAUUGACACUGGGACACACACAGUUAGAUUAGACUCUCUCUCAUCUUAAGCACAUGUUCUUGUGGAGGGACACGUGACAAAGGUUGGUUUUCUCAAGGUAUGGUAACACAGUGAUAGAAAUAUAAGAACAUUUGGGAGGUACCUAGGUCAGCCUAGGGGCGUUGGGAAUGGUUUCAUGAAACUUAAUGCUGGAGCCAAUUUUAAAA
This 867-nucleotide long non-coding RNA is filed under the name Heterocephalus glaber (naked mole-rat). RNAcentral's name for it is "lncRNA (ENSHGLG00000032179.1)". Lineage: Eukaryota; Metazoa; Chordata; Mammalia; Rodentia; Bathyergidae. The record is from RNAcentral.